UGAAAUGUUGCGUUUUCUUCGUUAUAUAGUGUGAGCGGUUAUAAUCGUUCGUGGGAGAAGACGUGUGUUGUGCGGGUGAUCAUUUGAUCUAAUCAAAACAUGAUUGACGCAUAUGGAAGGUGAAAUCAUAUGCCUUGGUUGAAUGAGGGGCCACACUAUUCCACUCUCUUUCACUUGAUGCCGCUUUUGGGCCUUUCGCU
Molecule: long non-coding RNA, 200 nt
Filed under: Lathyrus oleraceus (garden pea)
Lineage: Eukaryota; Viridiplantae; Streptophyta; Magnoliopsida; Fabales; Fabaceae
Description: Pisum sativum (pea) long non-coding RNA (PSAT_LNC021820)
Source: RNAcentral